Molecule: ribosomal RNA, 375 nt
Filed under: uncultured bacterium
Lineage: Bacteria
Description: bacterial SSU rRNA
Rfam family: Bacterial small subunit ribosomal RNA
Source: RNAcentral
AUUGAACGCUGGCGGCAUGCCUUACACAUGCAAGUCGAACGGCAGCACGGGAGCAAUCCUGGUGGCGAGUGGCGAACGGGUGAGUAAUAUAUCGGAACGUGCCCGGUCGUGGGGAUAACGUAGCGAAAGCUACGCUAAUACCGCAUACGAUCUACGGAUGAAAGCGGGGGAUCGCAAGACCUCGCGCGAUUGGAGCGGCCGAUAUCAGAUUAGGUAGUUGGUGAGGUAAAGGCUCACCAAGCCGACGAUCUGUAGCUGGUCUGAGAGGACGACCAGCCACACUGGGACUGAGACACGGCCCAGACUCCUACGGGAGGCAGCAUGGGAAUUUUGGACAAUGGGCGCAAGCCUGAUCCAGCAAUGCCGCGUGCAGGA